RNAcentral lists this ribosomal RNA (235 nucleotides) under Sphingomonas taxi. RNAcentral describes it as "partial 23S ribosomal RNA". The stretch from base 1 to 211 matches the Rfam family "Bacterial large subunit ribosomal RNA", at positions 2619 to 2925 of the family's 2925-position model. The record is from RNAcentral. Lineage: Bacteria; Pseudomonadati; Pseudomonadota; Alphaproteobacteria; Sphingomonadales; Sphingomonadaceae.
UCGCGAGACAGUUUGGUCCCUAUCUGCCGUGGGCGUCGAAAUUUGAGAGGAGUUGACCCUAGUACGAGAGGACCGGGUUGAACAUACCUCUGGUGUACCAGUCGUUCCGCCAGGAGCGCAGCUGGGUAGCUAUGUAUGGACGGGAUAACCGCUGAAAGCAUCUAAGGAUAGAUCGGAUGUAGAAGUGCGGUAACGCAUGGAGCUAACCGAUACUAAUUGCUCUAUUCGCGCUUGA